RNAcentral lists this ribosomal RNA (417 nucleotides) under uncultured Sulfitobacter sp. RNAcentral's name for it is "bacterial SSU rRNA". It matches the Rfam family "Bacterial small subunit ribosomal RNA", at positions 60 to 523 of the family's 1533-position model. The record is from RNAcentral. Lineage: Bacteria; Pseudomonadati; Pseudomonadota; Alphaproteobacteria; Rhodobacterales; Roseobacteraceae.
AGUCGAGCGAGACCUUCGGGUCUAGCGGCGGACGGGUUAGUAACGCGUGGGAACGUGCCCUUCUCUGCGGAAUAGCCACUGGAAACGGUGAGUAAUACCGCAUACGCCCUUCGGGGGAAAGAUUUAUCGGAGAAGGAUCGGCCCGCGUUAGAUUAGAUAGUUGGUGGGGUAACGGCCUACCAAGUCUACGAUCUAUAGCUGGUUUUAGAGGAUGAUCAGCAACACUGGGACUGAGACACGGCCCAGACUCCUACGGGAGGCAGCAGUGGGGAAUCUUAGACAAUGGGCGCAAGCCUGAUCUAGCCAUGCCGCGUGUGCGAUGAAGGUCUUAGGAUCGUAAAGCACUUUCACCAGGGAUGAUAAUGACAGUACCUGGUAAAGAAACCCCGGCUAACUCCGUGCCAGCAGCCGCGGUAA